RNAcentral lists this ribosomal RNA (497 nucleotides) under uncultured bacterium. RNAcentral's name for it is "partial 16S ribosomal RNA". It matches the Rfam family "Bacterial small subunit ribosomal RNA", at positions 28 to 507 of the family's 1533-position model. The record is from RNAcentral.
GAUGAACGCUGGCGGCGUGCCUAAUACAUGCAAGUCGAGCGAACAGACGAGGAGCUUGCUCCUCUGACGUUAGCGGCGGACGGGUGAGUAACACGUGGAUAACCUACCUAUAAGACUGGGAUAACUUCGGGAAACCGGAACUAAUACCGGAUAAUAUAUUGAACCGCAUGGUUCAACAGUGAAAGACGGUUUUGCUGUCACUUAUAGAUGGAUCCGCGCCGCAUUAGCUAGUUGGUAAGGUAACGGCUUACCAAGGCAACGAUGCGUAGCCGACCUGAGAGGGUGAUCGGCCACACUGGAACUGAGACACGGUCCAGACUCCUACGGGAGGCAGCAGUAGGGAAUCUUCCGCAAUGGGCGAAAGCCUGACGGAGCAACGCCGCGUGAGUGAUGAAGGUCUUCGGAUCGUAAAACUCUGUUAUUAGGGAAGAACAAAUGUGUAAGUAACUAUGCACGUCUUGACGGUACCUAAUCAGAAAGCCACGGCUAACUACGUG